This 351-nucleotide ribosomal RNA is filed under the name uncultured bacterium. Its description in RNAcentral is "partial 16S ribosomal RNA". It matches the Rfam family "Bacterial small subunit ribosomal RNA", at positions 338 to 686 of the family's 1533-position model. The record is from RNAcentral.
CCUACGGGAGGCAGCAGUGAGGAAUAUUGGUCAAUGGGCGGAAGCCUGAACCAGCCAAGUAGCGUGCAGGAUGACGGCCCUACGGGUUGUAAACUGCUUUUAUACGGGAAUAACGCGCCUUACGUGUAGGGCUUUGCAUGUACCGUAUGAAUAAGGACCGGCUAAUUCCGGGCCAGCAGCCGCGGUAAUACGGAAGGUCCGGGCGUUAUCCGGAUUUAUUGGGUGUAAAGGGAGCGUAGGCGGCGUGUCAAGCGUGCGGUGAAAUGUCCGGGGUCAACCCGGGCCUUGCAGGGGGAACGGGCGGGCGUGAGUGCGGGGAAGGCAGGCGGAAUUCGUGGUGUAGCGGUGAAA